This 1786-nucleotide unclassified non-coding RNA is filed under the name Caenorhabditis elegans. RNAcentral's name for it is "Non-coding transcript of protein-coding gene nob-1". The record is from RNAcentral. Lineage: Eukaryota; Metazoa; Nematoda; Chromadorea; Rhabditida; Rhabditidae.
AUGAUUUCGGUGAUGCAACAAAUGAUUAAUAACGACUCUCCAGAAGACUCUAAAGAAUCUAUCACCUCUGUCCAACAAACUCCAUUCUUCUGGCCAAGUGCUGCUGCUGCCAUACCGUCGAUACAAGGAGAAAGCCGUUCGGAAAGAGAAUCUGAAACUGGGUCGAGUCCACAGCUAGCGCCGUCUAGCACAGGAAUGGUUAUGCCUGGAACAGCAGGGAUGUAUGGGUUCGGACCAAGUCGAAUGCCAACUGCCAACGAGUUUGGAAUGAUGAUGAACCCGGUCUACACGGAUUUCUAUCAAAAUCCGCUGGCCUCAACUGGUUGGUACUCAUACGGACAACCGUAUCAAUUCACAGCUAACUACUCCAUUCCAAGUCUCGAUGGAAAUUUAAGUGAUAUCACAAUUCCAACGACGGCUGGAAGCAGUGCGGCAACAACUCCGAACGCUGCAAUGCAUCUUCCGUGGGCAAUCUCACAUGACGGGAAGAAGAAGCGACAACCGUACAAGAAAGAUCAGAUAUCAAGACUUGAGUACGAGUAUUCUGUCAAUCAAUAUCUCACGAAUAAGCGGAGAUCAGAACUCUCUGCACAAUUGAUGCUUGAUGAGAAGCAGGUCAAGGUCUGGUUCCAGGUAUGUUAUAGGCAGUAUUCAGCGGAAAGUCUAGAGAUCAUAAAUGUGAAUUUUUAUCUAAUGUCCUAAUGAAAAAAAUUCCAGAAAUUUUGGUAAAUUCCCAAAUUUCCUCAUUUUUAAAAAUUAAUUUUGAGCUUCUCUGGAUUUUCAAAAAACGAACAUCUGAAAAAUACUAAAUUUCAAUAUUUUGAACAUUUACAAGGUUUGGGCACUAAUAAUUGAAAAAAUACAAUAUUUAGCGCCAGCCAAAACGAACUCGAAAAAAUUGAAAAAUUUUUUAAAAUUUCCAGAAAAGUUUUGGCAAAAUGCCAAAUAUUUAAACCUGUUCCGACCUCUAGAAUGUUUUAUAGGAAUUUUUUUGGCAGACUUCCAAAAUUAUGACUUUCAAAAACUGAGUAAUUGUCACUUUUCAAACUUGUCAAACUUGUCAAAAUUUUCAAAAUUUUUUUGGAAAAGUUUUGCUAUCAUUUUGGCACCACUGGAGUAGUUUUUAACAAUUUCCUCACUGGCGCUAAUCCAUCAAUAACCAUACUUUAAAAGUUAAAAAUUACUUUUCAGCACGUGGUGUCAGAGUAUCCCAUUUCGGAUUGAUCUACGUUGAUCUACAAAAAAUGCGGGAUAAGAGGCGCAGAGUUCACAACUGAUUUCACAUGGUUAAGAACGUGCUGACGUCACCUUUUUUUAGGAAGAAAUUCCCGCAUUUUUGUAGAUCACACCGUAAUGGGACAGCCUGGCACCACUUUUUGUAGCCACACUUUUUUGAACUAAAGUAACAUUCGUAAUUAAUUAUCAGAGUGCAAAUAAAUAAGUUGGACAUUUGUGAAUUCACGUAAAAAUGGAAAUGUGCAAAAAGGAGGCAAAAGGUGAGCAGGUUUCAGGCAGGCAUCAGGCCUUGAAACCGCAUCUGCCUACCAUGAGAAAUAAUUGAAAACUUUAGAAACCUGAAACCGCGCCUGAACAUUGUCAAAAACCGUAAAUAUGUUGUUUUGUCUAAACUCCAACCAUUUUAACAUUGCAUGAAUUGUUUUGCUUUCUCUUAACUUCACUGUUUCAGAAUCGACGAAUGAAGGACAAGAAACUGCGUCAACGACAUUCCGGGCCAUUCCCCCACGGUGCUCCAGUCACUCCGUGCAUCGAGCGAUUGAUCAACUGA